AACGAACGCUGGCGGCAUGCCUAACACAUGCAAGUCGAACGAGACCUUCGGGUCUAGUGGCGCACGGGUGCGUAGCGCGUGGGAACCUGCCCUUAGGUUCGGAAUAACUCCCCGAAAGGGGUGCUAAUACCGGAUAAUGUCUUCGGACCAAAGAUUUAUCGCCUUUGGAUGGGCCCGCGUUGGAUUAGCUAGUUGGUAGGGUAAAAGCCUACCAAGGCGACGAUCCAUAGCUGGUCUGAGAGGAUGAUCAGCCACACUGGGACUGAGACACGGCCCAGACUCCUACGGGAGGCAGCAGUGGGGAAUAUUGGACAAUGGGCGAAAGCCUGAUCCAGCAAUGCCGCGUGAGUGAUGAAGGCCUUAGGGUUGUAAAGCUCUUUUACCCGGGAUGAUAAUGACAGUACCGGGAGAAUAAGCUCCGACUAACUCCGUG
Molecule: ribosomal RNA, 433 nt
Filed under: uncultured bacterium
Lineage: Bacteria
Description: partial 16S ribosomal RNA
Rfam family: Bacterial small subunit ribosomal RNA
Source: RNAcentral